Molecule: unclassified non-coding RNA, 972 nt
Filed under: uncultured cyanobacterium
Lineage: Bacteria; Bacillati; Cyanobacteriota
Description: partial contains 16S ribosomal RNA, 16S-23S ribosomal RNA intergenic spacer, and 23S ribosomal RNA
Rfam family: Bacterial small subunit ribosomal RNA (bases 1-112)
Source: RNAcentral
GAAGUCGUUACUUCAACCCUUCGGGAGGAGGACGUCGAAAGUGGGGCUGAUGACUGGGGUGAAGUCGUAACAAGGUAUCCGUACCGGAAGGUGCGGAUGGAUCACCUCCUAACAGGGAGACAAACAACGAUUUUGAUGCCUGAGUAGUUUUAUUCUUAGGCCGAAAUCCUGUCACCUUAGGUCGAUCGGUACCUCAGCGUUGAAGUAACAGAGUCAAUAGAGAUGUUGAUGCGUGUUGUGGAGAUGAUCAGUUCCUAAACUUUGUCUAGGUCACACCCCACAAGGGUUGAGUUUUCCUGGGCCAUUAGCUCAGGUGGUUAGAGCGCACCCCUGAUAAGGGUGAGGUCCCUGGUUCAAGUCCAGGAUGGCUCAUUCGGUGUUGGGGGUUUAGCUCAGUUGGUAGAGCGCCUGCUUUGCAAGCAGGAUGUCAGGAGUUCGAGUCUCCUAACCUCCACUGACCGAACUCAACCUCCGGUUUUGCAUUGAAAGAUGGAGAGCCACUCGAUUGUGAUGUGUGAUUUAGAUGUGUCCGCUGGAUGACCCCAGCUUCCUGUCAUUCCAAAUCAGGGUAAAGGUUUUUACUCGAAUAAAUUUGGUUGAUAAGAUGCUGGGCUCGAAUUCAAAUGAUCAAGCAGUUGGUCGUUUGGGUUUGAAGUCUGGCAGAACCUUGACAACUGCAAAGGUGAGUCUGGAAAAAACAGAGCAUCUUACAGAUGCAUUGUUUUGAAUCUGAUCUUCCGAAAGGGAGAUUGGAUCUAGAACAAUGAAAAUUCUUUUGAGCAAGAGCCGAGACUCUUGAGCGUUCUUUGAUUCGUGUCGAGCGAAUCAGAGUUUGAUCUUGUUUUAGGAAUCAGCGAAAGUUGAUGAUUAAACCUUGAGAAUCUGCUUUCAACGGCGGUAAGCGUUCAGGAGAUUAAUUGGUCAAGCUACAAAGGGCUCACGGUGGAUACCUUGGCACACAGAGGCGAUGAA